Molecule: long non-coding RNA, 116 nt
Organism: Gopherus evgoodei (Goodes thornscrub tortoise)
Lineage: Eukaryota; Metazoa; Chordata; Testudines; Testudinidae
Exons: 3
Source: RefSeq, a predicted model, not a curated record
GGGAAAAGAGCCAAUCUCAGUUUGAACCCCAGGGGUAUUGGGGUGGCAAAAGGUGGGGGCCGCAUAAACCUUCCCACAUGCAGCCUGCGAGUGCCAUCAAGCACACUCAACCUAAG